GAGUGAUCGAAAGAUGAAAAGCACUUUGAAAAGAGAGUUAAACAGCACGUGAAAUUGUUGAAAGGGAAGCGUUUGCGACCAGACUCGCCCGCGGGGUUCAGCCGGCACUCGUGCCGGUGUACUUCCCCGUGGGCGGGCCAGCGUCGGUUUGGGCGGCCGGUCAAAGGCCCUCGGAAUGUAUCACCUCUCGGGGUGUCUUAUAGCCGAGGGUGCAAUGCGGCCUGCCCGGACCGAGGAACGCGCUUCGGYCGGACG
This 255-nucleotide ribosomal RNA is filed under the name Aspergillus fischeri. Its description in RNAcentral is "partial large subunit ribosomal RNA". It matches the Rfam family "Eukaryotic large subunit ribosomal RNA", at positions 351 to 625 of the family's 3401-position model. The record is from RNAcentral. Lineage: Eukaryota; Fungi; Ascomycota; Eurotiomycetes; Eurotiales; Aspergillaceae.